AGUCCGACGGGUGCGCAAGUCGCCGGGACUUUGAAUCCCACGGCGGCGAAGUGAAGGCGAAGGGUUCUCCUAAGCCGUUCUCGAGGGAAGAUGGCGUUGUAGUCCUAAUGGGCGCGCGUCCGCACUCCCGGGGCGCCUCGUGCUGCGGUCUUCGGACGGCAAGGACGGGGCGCGCCUCUAGCGCAUUCGUCGGGACCCGAAAGAUGGUGAACUAUGCCUGGCCAGGAUGAAGCCAGGGGAAACCCUGGUGGAGGUCCGAAGCGGUUCUGACGUGCAAAUCGAUCGCGCGAGCUGGGUAUAGGGGCGAAAGACUAAUCGAACCAUCUAGUAGCUGGUUCCCUCCGAAGUUUCCCUCAGGAUAGCUGGCGCUUCUGACCGCGGUCCGCGGCGCCGGACCGCGACAAAUGAGUCUCAUGCGGUAAAGCGAAUGAUUAGAGGCGUUGGGGCCGAAACGGCCUCAACCUAUUCUCAAACUUUAAAUGUGUGCGAACGCCGGCCUGCCCGAUACACGAGGCCGAGCGCUCGGAUCAGAGCGCCUAGUGGGUCAAUUUUGGUAAGCAGAACUGACGCUGUGGGAUGAACCAAACGCCCGGUUAAGGCGUCCAAACCGGAGCUCAUCAGAUCCCACGAAAGGAGUCGGUCGCUAGUGACAGCAGGACGGUGGCCAUGGAAGUAGGAAUCCGCUA
Molecule: ribosomal RNA, 686 nt
Filed under: Choutagus longicephalus
Lineage: Eukaryota; Metazoa; Arthropoda; Insecta; Hemiptera; Issidae
Description: eukaryotic LSU rRNA
Rfam family: Eukaryotic large subunit ribosomal RNA
Source: RNAcentral